This 266-nucleotide ribosomal RNA is filed under the name uncultured bacterium. RNAcentral's name for it is "partial 16S ribosomal RNA". It matches the Rfam family "Bacterial small subunit ribosomal RNA", at positions 793 to 1055 of the family's 1533-position model. The record is from RNAcentral.
GUCCACGCUGUAAACGAUGGGCACUAGGUGUCGCGGGUAUUGACCCCUGCGGUGCCGUAGCAAACGCGUUAAGUGCCCCGCCUGGGGAGUACGGCCGCAAGGCUAAAACUCAAAGGAAUUGACGGGGGCCCGCACAAGCGGUGGAGCAUGUGGUUUAAUUCGACGCAACGCGCAGAACCUUACCCGGGCUAGAAAAACAAGGAACCUUCCAGAGAUGGAGGGGUGCCCGCAAGGGAAUCUUGGUCCAGGUGCUGCAUGGCUGUCGU